This 69-nucleotide transfer RNA is filed under the name Georissidae sp. BMNH 840458. Its description in RNAcentral is "tRNA-Tyr". The record is from RNAcentral. Lineage: Eukaryota; Metazoa; Arthropoda; Insecta; Coleoptera; Georissidae.
AAUGAAGUGGCUGAAAUUAAGCGAUAAACUGUAAAUUUAUUUAUGUAUAAUUAAUUUGUACCUUCAUUA